UACGGGGGGUGCGAGCGUUGUCCGGAAUUAUUGGGCGUAAAGGGCUCGUAGGCGGUCUGUCACGUCGGGAGUGAAAACACGGGGCUUAACCCCGUGCCUGCUUCCGAUACGGGCAGACUAGAGGUAUGCAGGGGAGAACGGAAUUCCUGGUGUAGCGGUGAAAUGCGCAGAUAUCAGGAGGAACACCGGUGGCGAAGGCGGUUCUCUGGGCAUUACCUGACGCUGAGGAGCGAAAGCGUGGGGAGCAAACAGG
This 253-nucleotide ribosomal RNA is filed under the name uncultured bacterium. RNAcentral's name for it is "partial 16S ribosomal RNA". It matches the Rfam family "Bacterial small subunit ribosomal RNA", at positions 524 to 776 of the family's 1533-position model. The record is from RNAcentral.